Acinonyx jubatus (cheetah) is the source of this 569-nucleotide long non-coding RNA. RefSeq lists it as uncharacterized. The record is from RefSeq and is a predicted model, not a curated record. NCBI's taxonomy places the organism in Eukaryota, Metazoa, Chordata, Mammalia, Carnivora, Felidae. The transcript has 3 exons.
UUUCUUUUCCAAGGACUUUUACAAGUGGAUUGAUGUUUGACUAAAUCAGACUCUGGACUGUGCUGCCAGUUUUCACUGCCUACUCACUGUGGGGGCUGUGGAGUAAUUCUAACAAAAAAGACUGUCUACUAAAAAGAAUAAAACUUCAAAUAGGAAAGACCGCAUCCCCUUUUCUAAUGAGGAAGUCAGAAAAUAAGACGAGAUUUGGCAAGCCCCAACUUGAGAAAUGGAAGCAAAGGAUGUAACUAGAAACCAUCUCAGAAAUCUAAUCAGCCUCACAGGCCUACAUAAAUCAGCAAAAGGAAAUUUGGCCUGGCAGAAGAGACAGAUCACAGAUCACAGCUGCAGAAUCUAAAAUUCCUGAUCAAACUGAUCAACAAUGUAAAGAAGCACAUACAUUUGUAAAAGGUUCAGUGGCUUUAUCUUGGGAUCUUUCUAAAUAAAGAAUCCCUCUACCAGAUCCAGAAUUUGUAAUUUAUUAUUAAUAAGAAUAAAUAUUUCAGUGUCUGUGCAUGUUCAUUUGCGUAUCUGAAGAGGUUAGUGAUGAACACUUAAAGCUAGCGGUUUGG